CGGAGCGCAGCUCAAUUGGUAGAGCAGCCGAUUUAUAUUCGGUAAGUGCCAGAUAAGUCGCCGAUUGCGACUGCCUCGCCGCGUAAGCGGUUGGGAAAAUGCGAAGCGAAAUCGCAGAGCUGCGAAGCAGCAAAUUCGAGUCCCGACGCUCCGA
RNAcentral lists this transfer RNA (154 nucleotides) under bacterium. RNAcentral describes it as "tRNA-Ile". The record is from RNAcentral. RNAcentral also lists the same sequence under 1 other name.